RNAcentral lists this transfer RNA (72 nucleotides) under Phrynosoma platyrhinos (Desert horned lizard). Its description in RNAcentral is "tRNA-OTHER". Lineage: Eukaryota; Metazoa; Chordata; Lepidosauria; Squamata; Phrynosomatidae. The record is from RNAcentral.
GGUGUAGUGGUGUAGUGGUUUGAGCAUUGGACUACGACUCUGGAGAUCAGGGUUCGAUUCCCCACUCAGCCA